Long non-coding RNA from Hydra vulgaris (swiftwater hydra), 694 nucleotides. RefSeq lists it as uncharacterized. The record is from RefSeq and is a predicted model, not a curated record. Lineage: Eukaryota; Metazoa; Cnidaria; Hydrozoa; Anthoathecata; Hydridae.
UCAGAGACUCAAGAACUCUUCGUCGAUGCCACCUUUAAAACACGGCCUCACCACGAUAUCUUUUCUCAACUGUUGAACAUCAUUGUCAUCUACAAAGAUUACUAUGUCGCAGUGAUGCAUGUCUUAAUGACAUGCAAGGAGCAAGCACUCUACGGCCAGAUCAUGGAGCGGUUCAAAGCUUUGGUUGGAUCGGACUUCAAGCCAAAAAGUGUGAUGUCGGACUACGAACGGGCGAUCCUGAACACCAUGCAAACUGCCUUUCCGGAAUCGAGAGUGUCUGGAUGCAGAUUUCACUUCAGCCAAGCAGUUCUCCGGAAAGUGUGUGCUCGCAACAAGGAGGAUUUCUAUAAAAAUGUUGAGUUUAGGAAUCUGAUGCUCAAACACAUGGCCCUAAGCACUCUACCGGCGAACCAAAUGGUACCGGUAUUCCAACAGCUGAAGCAAGAAGUGCUCCACUUACAACCACUCAGGCUCCGGAAGCAAGUCCAGAUAAUGCACAGGAAUUACUUCUUAAAGUGGUGGUUCCAAGGCAUCGGGCCCCAGCUGAUCUCUACGUACGGUCUUGCACAUAAGACCAACAACGUCUGCGAAAGUCUCCAUAAGAAAAUGUCUUUAAAGCUGGCAAAGGCGUCGACAAUCUAGAGAUUCCUCUCAGAUCUGAGGAUGUUCGUCAUCGAGCCAGCAAAGAUCGAUG